This 502-nucleotide ribosomal RNA is filed under the name uncultured bacterium. RNAcentral describes it as "bacterial SSU rRNA". It matches the Rfam family "Bacterial small subunit ribosomal RNA", at positions 24 to 518 of the family's 1533-position model. The record is from RNAcentral.
UCAGGAUGAACGCUGGCGGCGUGCCUAAUACAUGCAAGUCGUACGAGGGAAGUCCAGCUUGCUGGACGGAACGAGUGGCGAACGGGUGAGUAAUACGUAAGCAACCUGCCUGCAAGGACUGGGAUAACACCUGGAAACGGGCGCUAAUACCGGAUAGGUAACAAAGGGGCAUCCCUAUGUUAUUAAAGGUUAGAAACACAAGCAGAUGGGCUUACGGUGCAUUAGCUAGUUGGUGAGGUAACGGCCCACCAAGGCGAUGAUGCAUAGCCGGCCUGAGAGGGUGAACGGCCACAUUGGGACUGAGACACGGCCCAGACUCCUACGGGAGGCAGCAGUAGGGAAUUUUCGGCAAUGGACGAAAGUCUGACCGAGCAACGCCGCCGUGAGUGAAGAAGGUUUUCGGAUUGUAAAGCUCUGUUGUAAGGGAAGAACAGCACGGAAAGAAUCCGUGAAUGACGGUACCUUACCAGAAAGCCACGGCUAACUACGUGCCAGCCGCCGC